AAACCGUUCAGGGGUAAACCUGAGAAACCCAAAAGAUCGAAUGGGGAGAUUCAUCGUCAGCGGCGCUGGCUUCCUUGUAUUUCGCGAUGUUCGGGGAACCUCGGUUCCCACGGCACGCGUUUACUUGGUAUGUCUGGCGUUGUCGGCGUGCACUUCUCCCCUAGUAGAACGUCGCGACCCGUUGGGUGUCGGCCUACGGGCUGGGUGGUCGACUGUAUCGGCGUUUCGGCGAUCGGUGCAGACCCCCGGUUGCCCGGCCGGCUGCUCGGCGGUACUCGCAUGGUAUCGGGCCGCACUUACGUGCGUCAGGCCCGUCGCAAGCGCGGCCAGUGUCACCCGAAGGCGCGGACUAAGUGCCGUCCUCGGGCCUGGCCAGCUGUUGGUAGACGGUGUCCUCCGACAGGCCUCAUUUUCGAAUGAAGAUACCGGUCAGCGACGCUACUGCUUUGGGUACUUUCAGGA
RNAcentral lists this ribosomal RNA (462 nucleotides) under Helorus sp. M93. RNAcentral's name for it is "eukaryotic LSU rRNA". RNAcentral also lists the same sequence under 1 other name. The record is from RNAcentral. Lineage: Eukaryota; Metazoa; Arthropoda; Insecta; Hymenoptera; Heloridae.